Molecule: small RNA, 77 nt
Filed under: Escherichia coli
Lineage: Bacteria; Pseudomonadati; Pseudomonadota; Gammaproteobacteria; Enterobacterales; Enterobacteriaceae
Description: partial RtT sRNA
Rfam family: RtT RNA
About the family: This family represents a bacterial cis-regulatory element known as RtT RNA. The exact function of RtT is unknown although it is thought that it may be involved in changing the cellular response in relation to amino acid starvation.
Source: RNAcentral
CAGCGAGAGAGCGUUGCCGCAGGCAACGACCCGAAGGGCGAAGCGCGCAGCGUUGAGUAAUCCUUCCCCCACCACCA